CCGGCCUACAGGUUCAAUCGUUAGCUUCACUAGUGACACCUGGACCUGUGAGGCUGCUGCGAAAAAAGCUCAACUUGAGUCAAGUGUACCGAAGGGGAAAAAACUGGUGGGAAGAGGGGGCCAGUUUCACGACUGCGCCACUUUGAAUGGACUUCUGUGGGGAAACGAGUGAACCGCGGAGCCCAACGAGCAGUGAGAAGCUGCCACGUGGUUCGAGGGGGCGACGGGACGUCAGCGCCGAGGCCUAUCACCUGUAAUCAAUUGAAGUGAACACAUCAGUGAUGCCAAGCUUGAAGUGGGACCCCUGCAGAAAGCUGCUCCUUUAGCAUCAGGCCCCAGGGCUGAACCGCUGCACUCUGGCUACUUUGCUUCUUUCAUCAUCCCGGUUGUUUUGCAACAUACUGUUGGCUCGCUUUUUUUCUUUUCUUUUUACUACGCAGGUCAGUUGGGAACGAUGAGGAAGCACGAAUUCAUAAAGAACAAGAAACGUGUGAAGGUAAAACAUGCCACCUUUCACGUGGAGCUACAAAAAGUGCUGAUGUCGGACGUCGUGAUUUGAAGCAACGAAUUCCCUCCGUGCUUGCUGUACGGACUCUGAGAGCUGAGUCUAUUGUGCUACCAGUGCCGUCGCACUGAAUUCACAAAGUGGUCGUCAGCGGAGAUUUGUUUAACGUGUUGCAAUAUAUUGUAAUAAAUCGCUAAAGAAAAGCUGCCACGUAGCAACAAAAACACUUCUAGAAAUGUAGUUUAAGAAUACUACCAAGUGACCUGCUGCAAAAUUAAAUAAAUACUAUUUUUCUGUGUAUGUGUCAACAGAAAACGUUUUUAUUUAUGCGGCUAAAACAG
This is a long non-coding RNA of Gasterosteus aculeatus aculeatus (three-spined stickleback), 846 nucleotides long. The record is from Ensembl. NCBI's taxonomy places the organism in Eukaryota, Metazoa, Chordata, Actinopteri, Perciformes, Gasterosteidae.